This 369-nucleotide ribosomal RNA is filed under the name Priestia megaterium. RNAcentral describes it as "partial 23S ribosomal RNA". It matches the Rfam family "Bacterial large subunit ribosomal RNA", at positions 502 to 879 of the family's 2925-position model. Lineage: Bacteria; Bacillati; Bacillota; Bacilli; Caryophanales; Bacillaceae. The record is from RNAcentral.
CGUGAGGGAAAGGUGAAAAGGACCCCGGGAGGGGAGUGAAAUAGAACCUGAAACCUUAUGCUUACAAGCAGAGGGAGCGCAAGUGACCUCGUACUUUUUGUAGAACGGGCCAACGAGUUAUGGUAUGCAGCGAGGUUAAGGUGCUGGAGCACUGGAGCCGUAGAGAAAUCGAGUCUGAAAGGGCGAAAGUUGCAUGCUGUAGACCCGAAACCGGGUGAUCUAUCCAUGUCCAGGUUGAAGUAACUGUAAUAGGUUAUGGAGGAGCGAACUUAUAUCUGUUGAAAAAGGUUAGGAUGAGGUAUGGAUAGGGGUGAAAUUCCAAUCGAACUCGGAUAUAGCUGGUUCUCCUCGAAAUAGCUUUAGGGCUAG